This 114-nucleotide transfer RNA is filed under the name Yamadazyma tenuis ATCC 10573. Its description in RNAcentral is "Candida tenuis ATCC 10573 tRNA". It matches the Rfam family "tRNA". From Rfam's summary of the family: Transfer RNA (tRNA) molecules are approximately 80 nucleotides in length. Their secondary structure includes four short double-helical elements and three loops (D, anti-codon, and T loops). RNAcentral also lists the same sequence under 1 other name. The record is from Rfam by way of RNAcentral. Lineage: Eukaryota; Fungi; Ascomycota; Pichiomycetes; Serinales; Debaryomycetaceae.
GGCAUUGUGGCCGAGUGGUUAAGGCGAUGCACUCGAAUCGUGUUUCAUCUGAAACGGAAUAUUUGGGUUAUGCAUUGGGUUUCGCCCGCGCAGGUUCGAAUCCUGCUGAUGUCG